This 72-nucleotide transfer RNA is filed under the name Gossypium hirsutum (cotton). It matches the Rfam family "tRNA". Rfam says of the family: Transfer RNA (tRNA) molecules are approximately 80 nucleotides in length. Their secondary structure includes four short double-helical elements and three loops (D, anti-codon, and T loops). Lineage: Eukaryota; Viridiplantae; Streptophyta; Magnoliopsida; Malvales; Malvaceae. The record is from Rfam by way of RNAcentral.
AGGGAUAUAACUCAGUGGUAGAGUGUCACCUUAACGUGGCGGAAGCAAUUAGUUUGAGCCUGAUUAUCCCUA